RNAcentral lists this transfer RNA (75 nucleotides) under Clostridiales bacterium. Its description in RNAcentral is "tRNA-Arg". It matches the Rfam family "tRNA". From Rfam's summary of the family: Transfer RNA (tRNA) molecules are approximately 80 nucleotides in length. Their secondary structure includes four short double-helical elements and three loops (D, anti-codon, and T loops). Lineage: Bacteria; Bacillati; Bacillota; Clostridia; Eubacteriales. The record is from RNAcentral.
GUUCUCGUAGUUCAACGGAUAGAACAAGAGCCUCCUAAGCUCUAGAUGUGGUUUCGAUUACCGCCGGGAACACCA